RNAcentral lists this long non-coding RNA (724 nucleotides) under Homo sapiens (human). RNAcentral describes it as "HSALNT0105630". The record is from RNAcentral. Lineage: Eukaryota; Metazoa; Chordata; Mammalia; Primates; Hominidae.
GUGAUCCAGCCACCUCGGCCUCCCAAAGUGCUGGGAUUACAGGCGUGAGCCACCACGCCCAGCCUUGUUGUUUUCUUUUUAAGAGGGUGGGGAGAGGCAGAGGCAAGUGGAAUUGGAACCAGGACCUAAAGUCGGCUCCUUUUGCAGCUUGGCUUCUGGGUGGGGUUGAUGUCUGAGGGUGGGACCCCAGGGAUCCAAGACAGAAGAAAAGCCAGUGUUUCCACUCCCACCUCGCCCUCACCCCAGACAAGCAGUGUGCUCACUCCGCCUUCCACCUUCUGCCAUGGGAUGACCCUCCCCAGACGCUGAUGCCACGUUUUUGGACUUCUCUGCCUCCAGAACUGUGAGAAAUAAGUUUCUUUUUUUAUAACUUACCCAGUCUGUAGUAUUCUGUUAACAGCAGAAAACAUCAGGUGAGGCCAGAACUCUGAUGCCGCCCUUGACAUCACCUUAGUUCCCUCCUGACUGGAUCAGUAUGAUGUCAAAUUAAUUGCAAUGGUGGGUACUUACUAAUUUGCAUUUACUUUUCAUUACAACAUAUCCCACAGGAUUCCAGGGACCUGGGAUGGUCUGUAUUCUUGGCAGUUCUCAAGAUCUACGAGUCUUAUUUCCUGUUAACUUUUUUCCUUUUGCUUGAUCCUAUCGGGCACAUGGAUCUUCCUAAAGUUUUGAUUCUGUAAUUAGUGCUACCAUAAAAAACUGUACAAUUUUGGAGAGUGUUUUU